CGGGGGCUGUCCGCGUGCGUCGGGGUGAGCAGCAUCGCCCGUCCAGGCACGUCCCGCAGUAGUUGGGCCGAUAGAGACGUGUGCUGCGGCAGCCGGCGUAGCGCAGACGCAGAGGCUCAGGAGACUUGUGGGCACAUUCACAGAACUACAGGGACGAAUGUUGCAGAGUCUGGUUUCCUUCAGCAGCUUGCACUGCGCAUUCUCAUUGGUGACCCGAGAUGAAACGCCCAUCCCGCAGCUGCGCGAACAAGGCGUCCAGCGUGUAGUCUGUGCAACACAUUGCCACCCGGCUUGCUUCCAUGCUGGGAAAAACGAGAGAGACGGGGGAUCUCGUGGAAAAGAAGCAGUGGGCUCCUAAACACAGGCACCCACACAGAAGCACAUGCAGGAGGAACCGCCACAGCUCACAUUGGGACUGAUUGUUAUUUGAAGGGCAGCCCAAAGGGGCGUUUACACAGGACACAUUCUUGCACUUCGCUGCAUUAUUUUUAAUUGUUGGUUUAUGUAAACAUAUGCUAAACAGACGUCAUUGUUGGUAACGAUGCAUAUCAC
Molecule: long non-coding RNA, 552 nt
Organism: Cyprinus carpio (common carp)
Lineage: Eukaryota; Metazoa; Chordata; Actinopteri; Cypriniformes; Cyprinidae
Source: RefSeq, a predicted model, not a curated record